CCUACGGGUGACAGCAGUGGGGAAUAUUGCACAAUGGGGGAAACUCUGAUGCAGCGACGCCGCGUGAGUGAAGAAGGAAUUCGUUACGUAAAGCUCUAUCAGCACGGAAGAAACACUGACCUUACGGUCAGCAGACGGUACCUGAGUAAGAAGCCCCGGCUAACUACGUGCCAGCAGCCGCGGUAAUACGGAGGGGGCAAGCGUUAUCCGGAUUUACUGGGUGUAAAGGGAGCGUAGACGGUGCGACAAGUCGGGAGUGAAAUGCCGCAGCUUAACUGCGGAACUGCUUUUGAAAUUGGCGAACUAGAGUGCGGGAGGGGUAAGCGGAAUUCCUAGUGUAGCGGUGAAAUGCGUAGAUAUUAGUAGGAACACCGGUGGCGAAGGCGGCUUACUGGACCGUAACUGACGUUGAGGCUCGAAAGCGUGGGGAGCAAACAGGAUUAGAUACCCCAGUAGUC
RNAcentral lists this ribosomal RNA (458 nucleotides) under uncultured bacterium. RNAcentral describes it as "partial 16S ribosomal RNA". It matches the Rfam family "Bacterial small subunit ribosomal RNA", at positions 338 to 795 of the family's 1533-position model. The record is from RNAcentral.